RNAcentral lists this unclassified non-coding RNA (453 nucleotides) under uncultured Acaulospora. RNAcentral's name for it is "SSU rRNA". It matches the Rfam family "Eukaryotic small subunit ribosomal RNA", at positions 569 to 1028 of the family's 1831-position model. Lineage: Eukaryota; Fungi; Glomeromycota; Glomeromycetes; Diversisporales; Acaulosporaceae. The record is from RNAcentral.
AGCAGCCGCGGUAAUUCCAGCCCCAAUAGCGUAUAUUAAAGUUGUUGCAGUUAAAAGCUCGUAGUUGAAUUUCGGGAUUUAUCCGUCGGUCGGGCUUUUGGGUCUGUACUGGGGUGAUGAAUUCCUACCUUCUGAAUAACCAGCAUGCCAUUAAUUUGGUGCGCCGGGGAAGCAGGACUGUUACCUUGAAAAAUUGAGUGCUUAAAGCAGGCUAUUGCCUGAAUACAUUAGCAUGGAAUAAUGAAAUAGGACGGCAUGGUUCUAUUUUGUUGGUUUCUAGGAUCACCGUAAUGAUUAAUAGGGAUAGUUGGGGGCAUUAGUAUUCAAUUGUCAGAGGUGAAAUUCUUGGAUUUAUUGAAGACUAACUUCUGCGAAAGCAUUUGCCAAGGAUGUUUCCAUUAAUCAAGAACGAAAGUUAGGGAUCGAAGACGAUCAGAUACCGUCGUAGUCUUA